This 484-nucleotide ribosomal RNA is filed under the name uncultured bacterium. RNAcentral's name for it is "partial 16S ribosomal RNA". It matches the Rfam family "Bacterial small subunit ribosomal RNA", at positions 28 to 507 of the family's 1533-position model. The record is from RNAcentral.
GAUGAACGCUGGCGGCGUGCUUAACACAUGCAAGUCGAACGGAAAGGCGCCUUUCUGGCUCCUCUAGCGGCGGACGCGGGCGUAAGACUAAAGUAACCUGCACUUGACUAUGGGAUAAGUUCAACAUCCUGGAACUAGUACCGGAUAGGAAUCCUUGCUUCAUGGUGGUGGUUCGAAAGCUUCGGCGGUUUUUGAUGUACUCGCGCCUUAUCAGCUAGUUGGUAGGGUAGUUGCUUAACUAGGCUAUGAUGCGUAGCCGACCUGAGAGGGCGACCGGCCACACGGGAACUGAGCCACGGUCCAGACUCCUACGGGAGGCAGCAGUAGGGAAUCGUCCGCAAUGGGCGGAAGCGUGACGGAGCAACGCCGCGUGAGUGAUGAAGGUCUGCGGAGCGUAAAACUCUGUUAUUAGGGAAGAACAAAUGUGUAAGUAACUAUGCACGUCUUGACGGUACCGAAUCAGAAAGCCACGGCUAACUACGUG